GAAGAAAAUGGGAAGAAAUGGACUUUGAAGUCAGAAAUGUGGCUUUGAAGUCUGUUUUCAUGGUUCUGUAGUUAUACUACUUAGGAACCUGUUCAACGGGAUUAAUAAUAGUAUUUUUUAUGAAGAUGACACAAAUUACAGGAAAAUACAUAGCAUCAUGCUUUCCACUCUGGGGCACUGAAUUAUUGUUUUUCUUCAUUUUUCGUAGAAUUCAGAAUCCACUGAAGUUCGAUAACUUCUCGCGCUAUGUUCUGCACAACAUUAGGGCUUCUGAGAUAUGGCUAAAAUUGUCUUCGUGGUCAAAUAUCUGGCAUAAAAAAAAGGAAUGUCGGUCUUCCAUGUGGCAGUCUUCCGCAUGAUAAAUUGAUAGAGCAGCCC
This 378-nucleotide long non-coding RNA is filed under the name Fukomys damarensis (Damara mole-rat). RNAcentral's name for it is "lncRNA (ENSFDAG00000026941.1)". The record is from RNAcentral. Lineage: Eukaryota; Metazoa; Chordata; Mammalia; Rodentia; Bathyergidae.